RNAcentral lists this ribosomal RNA (111 nucleotides) under Caerostris darwini. Lineage: Eukaryota; Metazoa; Arthropoda; Arachnida; Araneae; Araneidae. The record is from RNAcentral.
AACGGCCGUACCAUGCUGAAUAUACCGGUUCUCGUUAGAUCACCGAAGUCAAGCAUAUUGGGCGCGGUAGUACUCUGGGUGGGUGACCACCUGGGAACACUGCGUGCCGUU